GACUCGAGCUCCAUUCCACCUGAAGAAAUUCAUUUUAAAUAGCUGCACCCACCUCUUCUUCUUCCUCACACUACGUUUCUUUCUCCCCUGUGGACUAUGUGCGCGGGGUGAUGGGUCUUUGUUUUAGCUGGUGUCACUGUACUUCCAUCAGAUGUCUCUGGUGUGGCUUGCAAGGCUCUUCUCCAUUUUGGUGCGAGAUUUUGCAGGGCUUGCUGCAGUUCUUUUCUGGUUUUCAUCCGGUACUGUUGCAGGUUCAUGGUCUGUGGAAAGGCCACCAGUGACAGCAGACAAAAAGACUAUGGCAUAUCAUACGCAUGGUCCUGUGCACGCUGAGGAAAUACCACUGCAAACAGAAGAUCCUGCUCGACCACCGCCUCAUGAUCACGAGAGGUAAACUUGCCUCAUGAUCACGAGAGGUAAACUUGCCGGAAAAGCUGUCAGCGACCUUAUGUUCUACCGGCGUUUGCCAUGCCCCCUCUCACUCGCGAACCUACAUAUGUCGCCUACACCAAGCCUCAAGAUUGUUCUUUAUUCGUAUAAAUAAAUGUAAUAUUAUAAUUAUGUACUUGUUUAUAUAUGUGUGUGUGUGUGACCUUAGAAAAUGAGAAUCUUUAAAACAAUAGCCUUUUUGUAUCUUUUUCUUUCAUUUUAAGGUGGAUAAAAAAUCUAAGAGUGCCAUUUAUUGUGGA
Long non-coding RNA from Nymphaea colorata (pocket water lily), 689 nucleotides. RefSeq lists it as uncharacterized. NCBI's taxonomy places the organism in Eukaryota, Viridiplantae, Streptophyta, Magnoliopsida, Nymphaeales, Nymphaeaceae. The record is from RefSeq and is a predicted model, not a curated record. The transcript is spliced from 2 exons.